GACCACCACCGUCCAGCUCGGCUCUCGGCACCGUCGGUCCUCCCGGCCCCGGCCGCUCUGCAGAAGCUGCUGUGGCGCUGGAGGUCGCUGUGCUCGCCGCACACUUUCCAGCUCCGGGGAAAACGCAGGAGUUUUGCAGUUGGCCGCCUCAGGGGGUCGAUGGAGGGAGCUGCAGCACGAGACCGGCCGGCUUGCUCGCAAAACAAAUCCUGGGUCAUCAUGACUGUGCAUUUGGGAAAUUAGGGUUUGUCGGGGGCCGCCAGGCAGACAGAGCCCAGAGUUUGAGCAGAGAGAGAAUUACGAGGGCGGGGGAGGGGAGAGGCAGGAACCGCCUUGCCUGAGAACGGGUCUCCGUCGCCCUCGUAACGGCUAGGCUCCUUAACUGAGACCCCGGGGUCACCAGGCGGGCGCACUUGUCUUUCCUCCGUUCUCCGCUAAGCCGCUAGAGAGCUGCAGGGUCUGUGAAACUAUCACAGUCGCCCCUCCUCCUAACCGACUUUCUGCCGCCGCUGCUGCUGCUAAGUCGCUUCAGUCGUGUCAGACUCUGUGUGUCCCCAGAGACGGCAGCCCACCAGGCUUCCCCGUUCCUGGGAUUCUCCGGGCAAGAACACUGGAGUGGGUUGCCAUUUCCUUCUCCAAUGCAUGAAAGUGAAAAGUGAAAGUGAAGUCGCUCAGUCGUGUCCGACUCUAGUGAUCCCAUGGACUGUAGCCUACCAGGCUCUUCCGUCCAUGGGAUUUUCCAGGCAAAAGUACUGGAGUGGGAUGCCAUUGCCUUCUCCGAACUGACUCUCUAAUUCAGUCGAAAGAAAGUCGCUCAGUCGUGUCCGACUCUUUGCGACCCCAUGGCCUGUAGCCUACCAGGCUCUUCGUCCAUGGGAUUUUCCAGUCGUGAUCAACGAGACCAGAGAGGCUGAGAAACUUGAGGAUUGACACCGUUAUCAUCUUCAUUUCACAGUCGUGAUCAACGAGACCAGAGAGGCUGAGAAACUUGUCCUGGGUCACUCAGCUAGAAGGCAGUUGACCUGCGGAGUUGAUCACGGUGUUCCAAGAACUGCCAGGUUCUGAAGCACAGGUCCCGCUCACUGAUGGAGUCCAGACCAGUGACUGCACUAGUUGUCUAGAACUUUCAUAUCCCUUUUUGCACCCCUGCCCAUCCUUCCGCAGAGGAGGACCCUACUUUGCAUACCCCAGGGGCGUGGUCAGCCCUUCUGGUCAGCCCUUCUAGCUUGGUCCUUGGCACUGUCCUGGCCCCCGUCACUCUGCAGAAACUGCUGUGGCGCCAUAGGUCGCUGCGCCUGCCGCACACUUUGCACGAGAAGAGGGGGAAAGCCACAAGAAGAGGAAGGCGACAUUGAAGGACAGCAAGGUUGCUGGUGACACACACAUGGAUUUGCUGGCGCAAGGCCCACAGCUCCAUGGUUUUGAUAAGAGUGGGUGGCCCCUGGGGUCAAGUCCUCACCUGAGCUUGUCUUGGCUUCUGGCUCUCUGAUUCCCUGCCGGCUUGGGUUUUCCCUGUCUCCUGUGGGAGAGGAAGGGUGGGGGGAGUGAUCUGUUUCACUUCUUAGGGAACCCUAAUAACCUUCUGGACAGAUUAGCUCUGAGGUCCCCUCUGGACAUGCCUGGCAGGAGUCAGCCCUCAACUAGCAAACACUAGGGAUAAAGAGAGUUUUUGCCAGGUAUUUGGGAAUUGAUCCUCAGACAGUUUCAUUCCUGCAAGGGAGUGUCUCACAUUAAAGUGAUUUACAUCACCUUCUAGUUCAUGCAUAGGACCCUUAGGAGCUUGGUUAACUUGAGUUAGUACCCCUUCCCCAUCAUGCCCUGUUAAAGUAUUAGUUGCUCAGUUGUGUCCGACUCUGCAAUCCCAGACUGUAGCCUGCCAGGCUCCUCUGUUCAUGGGAUUCUCCAGGCAAGAACACUAGAGUGGAUUCCCAUGCCCUCCUCAAGGGGAUCUUCCUGACCCAGGGAUCAAACCUGGGUCUCCUGCAUUGCAGGCAGUUUCUUUACUGUCUGAGCCACCAGGGGAAACCCCACCAUUCCCUGUUCUCUGCUCAGACAGAAAUUCUACUGCUGGCCCCAGACCUCAUCCAGAUGCCAUGUGCCUUCACUAAGGUAUUGUAUCCUCAGAGUCCCUGAUAUCCUUGCCCUGAAGGAGUUAGGAGUAACAGGUCAGGAUGGGACUCUAGGAUGACCCGCAGAGGUCUCAAGCAUUUCCUGUUUCUGCAGCCUGAGGAACCAGGUACCUUGUCAGACUCUUGCAUUUUUGCCAAACUCACAGGUUAUAGAUUAUAUCUCAUUGUUGUUUAAAUAUGCAUUUCUCUCUUUAUAGUUGUAUGAAAAAUCAUAUUUAUUAUAACUAAUUUUAAAGACUUUAUUGAAGGACAGCAUACAAAAAUGAUGUUAAAGUGUAAAACUUGAUUAAAUUUCACAAAGUAAACACAAUUGUAACCAUUACUCUGCUUAAGAAAAAGCAUUACUAUCUCCUAAGAAGAUGUUCUUCUGUCCCUUUCUUGUCAUGACUCUCUUCUGCC
Long non-coding RNA from Bos taurus (domestic cattle), 2528 nucleotides. NCBI's taxonomy places the organism in Eukaryota, Metazoa, Chordata, Mammalia, Artiodactyla, Bovidae. The record is from Ensembl.